Long non-coding RNA from Prunus persica (peach), 217 nucleotides. RefSeq lists it as uncharacterized. The transcript has 3 exons. The record is from RefSeq and is a predicted model, not a curated record. NCBI's taxonomy places the organism in Eukaryota, Viridiplantae, Streptophyta, Magnoliopsida, Rosales, Rosaceae.
GGAGGUGCAGCUGGAAUCAUUUUCAGUGGGCGCUGAUUUUUUCUAUAGACUUAUCGAUGAAACGGAAUGGAUUAGCUCAAGGCACCUGGACAUGGCAACCUUUCUUAUCCGGAAAAGGCAACUCUCUCAUCCGUUGGUAUUUGGAACUGACUGGACAACGGCAGAUUGUUGCUUGCAGCAAUUUCUAGAGCCGUUCAAACCGACUGCCAAGAAACGU